GUGGUCAAGUAACUAAGGGCACAUGGGGGAUGUCUUGGCAUUAGAAGGCGAUGAAGGGCGUGGAAGUCUGCGAAAAGCUUGGGGGAGCUGACAAACGAGUGUUUAUCCCGAGAUACCCGAAUUAGCUCAUACUGAAUACAUAGGUAUGGGUGGCCAACCCAGGGAACUGAAACAUCUAAGUACCUGGAGGAAAAGAAAGAAAAAUCGAUUCCGUAAGUAGCGGCGAGCGAAAGCGGAACAGCCCAAACCGCGGGGGUCUUCCCCUGCGGGGUUGUAGGAUUUCUCACAUGGGAGUUAGAAAAUUCUGGCUAGAGGAAGUGUCCUGGAUACGGCACGCCACAGAGGGUGACAGCCCCGUACUCGAAAGCUUUGAAUCUCCCGAGGAACACCUGAGUAGGUCGGAGCACGUGAAACUCCGACUGAAUCUACGGAGACCAUUCCGUAAGGCUAAAUACUCUCUAAUGACCGAUAGUGAACUAAGUAGCGCGAGUGAAAGGUGAGAAGAACCCCGGCUAGGGGAGGACACUGAACCUGAAACCAUGUGCCUACAAGCGGUCGGAGCACGAUUUAACGUGUGACGGCGUGCCUUUAGCAAAAUGAUCCGGCGAGUUACCGUUUGCGGCCCGGUUAAGCCUCUCAGGGGCGAAGCCAUAGGGAAACCGAGUCUUAAUAGGGCGACAUUGUCGUAGGUGGUAGACGCGAAACCUGGUGAUCUACCCAUGAGCAGGUUGAAGCGCGGGUUAAACUGCGUGGAGGACCGAACCCACUUAGGUUGAAAACUGAGGGGAUGACUUGUGGGGAGGAGUGAAAGUCUAAUCAAACCAGGAGAUAGCUCGUUCUCUCCGAAAUAUAUUGAGGUAUAGCCUCGAGCAACUAUUCGGCGGGGGUAGAGAGACUGAAUUGGAUGGGGGCGGUUUCCACUGUACCCCACUGAACCAAACUCCGAAUACCGUCGAAACUAUCUCGGGAGUCAGUCCAUGGGGGAUAAGCUCCGUGGUCGAGAGGGAAACAACCCAGACCGUCAGCUAAGGUCCCUAAACUAUGCUCAGUCACUAAGGAAGUUGAAUUUCUGAGACAGCCAGGAUGUUGGCUUAGAAGCAGCCACCAUUUAAAAAGUGCGUAACAGCUUACUGGUCGAGAGAUUCUGCGCCGAUAAUGAACGGGAGUAAGCAUAGUACCGAAGCUACGGAUCCUAGCUUGCUAGGAUGGUAGGAGAGCGCUGUAGAGCAGAUACAAGCCAUACCGUGAGGAGUGGUGUCGGGUUCUACAGGUGAUUAUGCCGGAAUGAGUAACGAUAAAACAGGUGAGAAUCCUGUUCGCCGAAAACCUAAGGUUUCCUGGGGAAGGUAAAUCCGCCCAGGGUUAGCCGGUACCUAAGGCGAGGCCGAAAGGCGUAGUCGAUGGAUAGAAGGUUAAUAUUCCUUCGCCAUGUGUGUGGAGCGAUGGAGGGACGGCAUCCGAAAAGCAUGAGGACGACUAGAAAUGUCCUUUGCCUGGCAACGAGAUUGGCAGUAGGUAAAUCCGCUGCAGUAGGAUCAAGUUGCCGGGCUAACAGCACCUAAGAUCUGGAUGAUGUUGGCAGGAUGUCCAAGAAAAACUUCUAAGUUUUGAAGCACACGUGACCGUACUAAAACUGACACAGGUAGGUGAGUCGAGAAGACUAAGGCGCUCGGGAGAACGGUGAUUAAGGAACUCUGCAAAAUGGCCCCGUAAGUUCGCGAUAAGGGGCGCCUACGCAAGUAGGCCACAGAAAAUCGGCUCUAACGACUGUUUAUCAAAAACACAGGACGCUGCUAACACGCAAGUGGAUGUAUAGCGUCUGACGCCUGCCCGGUGCUGGUAGGUUAAGGAAGACGGUUAGCUCUUCGGAGCGAAGCUGGCGACCGAAGCCC
This 1892-nucleotide ribosomal RNA is filed under the name Planctomycetaceae bacterium. RNAcentral describes it as "bacterial LSU rRNA". It matches the Rfam family "Bacterial large subunit ribosomal RNA", at positions 1 to 1920 of the family's 2925-position model. The record is from RNAcentral. Lineage: Bacteria; Pseudomonadati; Planctomycetota; Planctomycetia; Planctomycetales; Planctomycetaceae.